GUCCACGCCCUAAACGAUGCGAACUGGAUGUUGGGCUCAACUCGGAGCUCAGUGUCGAAGCUAACGCGUUAAGUUCGCCGCCUGGGAGUACGGUCGCAAGACUGAAACUCAAAGGAAUUGACGGGGCCCGCACAAGCGGUGGAGUAUGUGGUUUAAUUCGACGCAACACGAAAACCUUACCUGGGCUCGAACGACUGGAAGUAAGCUGCCUGAAAAGGCGGACGACCUGUAAAGUCAGGAACCAGCCGAGGUGCUGCAUGGUUGUCGU
This 268-nucleotide ribosomal RNA is filed under the name uncultured bacterium. RNAcentral describes it as "partial 16S ribosomal RNA". It matches the Rfam family "Bacterial small subunit ribosomal RNA", at positions 793 to 1055 of the family's 1533-position model. The record is from RNAcentral.